Molecule: ribosomal RNA, 496 nt
Filed under: uncultured bacterium
Lineage: Bacteria
Description: partial 16S ribosomal RNA
Rfam family: Bacterial small subunit ribosomal RNA
Source: RNAcentral
GAUGAACGCUGGCGGCGUGCCUAAUACAUGCAAGUCGAGCGAACAGACGAGGAGCUUGCUCCUCUGACGUUAGCGGCGGACGGGUGAGUAACACGUGGAUAACCUACCUAUAAGACUGGGAUAACCUCGGGAAACCGGAGCUAAUACCGGAUAAUAUAUUGAACCGUAUGGUUCAAUAGUGAAAGACGGUUUUGCUGUCACUUAUAGAUGGAUCCGCGCCGCAUUAGCUAGUUGGUAAGGUAACGGCUUACCAAGGCGACGAUGCGUAGCCGACCUGAGAGGGUGAUCGGCCACACUGGAACUGAGACACGGUCCAGACUCCUACGGGAGGCAGCAGUAGGGAAGCUUCCGCGAUGGGCGGAAGCCUGACGGAGCAACGCCGCGUGAGUGAUGAAGGUCUUCGGAUCGUAAAACUCUGUUAUUAGGGAAGAACAAAUGUGUAAGUAACUAUGCACGUCUUGACGGUACCUAAUCAGAAAGCCACGGCUAACUACGU